CAGGAUACAGCCGACUUCUUUUUCUAACCUAUGGGACCUGCAGGUCACUGCGGAGCAUGCGCAGGAGUCACUCCUGGAGUCCAAACUUCACUUCCCAAAAGGCCGCGUUGCCGCAGGGGGCAGAACUUGGCAUCCCACGUGGUUGCCUUCCUGUGCUUUCCCGGAACCGGAAGUUGGGCUCUAGCGCUCUCCCCCUGCCUGGAAUCCUGCCAUCGCCACAGAGAGUCGCUCCUGAAGGCGCCGCUUGUGGUGCGGAAGCCUGUAAGGGCCGCUCUAGCAUCGUGGGAACCGCCCCGGUCCGUGCUCCCUUCGCUCUUCUCGCCUAGACCUUGGAGCCGCCUCCCGAAGACCUUCCCCCCGCACCUCCCCGCUUUGGUUCCUCCCUGCGGGCCCCCCUUCCCGGGCUUCCCGCUCCCCCCCCAGAGCCGCUCCCUCCGAAGCCCGAGUGACCCCUCUCCUCCCAGGCCCCUCCGGGCUCGGUGUCGGGGCAGUCACAGGGAUGAGAACCUCCUUCCUGCCCCUUUAUCGCUCCCUCUCCAGGUGAGGCUCCGAGGAGGAGAAAUGGCCGCCAGGCUCCGUCCCCCCUGACUCUUCCUCGUUCACGCUUAGCACCGAGCCCGGCCCUGGCGGACUGACCCCUCUUUGUAUAAUCCCGCAGGGCCUCGGGGUCAGAAAAGCGGCUGGAUCCGGGAGGAUCCUGGCGGCCCCAGUGACAAAGGCCGCUUUUCUUCCUGCGCUGGAAUCACGUCAUGUUGUUAAACCGCAUUUUGGGGCGGGAUCCUUAAGGAAUUGUGGCUGUCACCUCCAAGGAGACCCCGUGCCCUUCCCAGCAGGAUCUGCGCAGGGCCGUGAUGCGGGACAACCGGAGGACCCUGGCCUGCCCGGGAUUUGUGAUUUCCAAACCAGAUACACUAUACCAAUUGGAACAAGAAAUAAAACUUUGGAUGCCAAAAAGAGAUGCACCUGUCUAUGGAAAUGAGUGAAAACCAGAUGGGGAAAAGGUUGGGACAGUACGUCUGAAAUCAAACGGACAAUUCCAAAGCUGGACAUUUCUUUGAAGGAAUUAUGCCAGGAAAGUCUUAUAAGGGAUGGUACCUUUGACUUAAGUCAAAUCUGGAAUUGUGGCACCCAGCUAGCAAGGAAAUAAUAAUGUAAUGAAUGUGGCAAGACUUUCAGCCAGGAGACAUAUUUUACUCAGUACAGGAAAAUUCAUAUGGGAGAAAAACUUUAUGAAUGUAAUGACUGCGGGAAGGCCUUCUGCUGGAAAAUAGACCUCAUUUGACAUCAGAUUAUCCAUACUGUGAAAGAUCUUAAGAAUGUAAUGAAUAUGGGAAGACUUUCUGCCUGACUACAGCUCUUUUCUAAGGGAUGUGUCGAGUGUUAGGCUUGACUACCUAUCAAUUACAACCAAUAAAUGACAUUUUAAGGAAAGACAGUGCUUUAAACUCACCACAUCAGCUUACAAAAGAAGCUCACGAGACUUUCAGAGAACUUGAACUGACUUUAUCCAAUGUGGUUGAAUGUCAUUCAAAAACCCUUGGAAAUAUCAGUUUUUACUACACAAGAGGCACCCACAGCAGUCCUUCAUCAAGAUGUGUGAUAAAGCGGGUGAACCUCCCAACACAACCAGAACAAACUCUUAGUCUUUACCCAGUGCCUAUGGCUAGAAUUUUAUUAAAAGCCAUUGAGCGAGGAGUACAAUUAUCUGGGAUAAGAUAUACACCUUUUAUACUAAUGCACAAAUUAAUGUAUGCUGUGAAACCAUCCCAGAGUGGCAAAUUUUAUUAGCUAUGGCUCCAAAUUUUACACACGGAUCUCCAUUAAAGAUAACCAGACUAUUACAUAAUUGACGGUGGAUUCUUGAAGAAAAGGUUUCUAAAGUUCCUCUUAAAGGACCAACUCUCUUUAGAGAUGCAUCCAAACAUAAUAUUUGUGCUGUAUACGCUUGUGACUUAACUGUAAAGAGAGUACUCAGAAUUCCUUUUCAGUCCACUCAGCAGAAUGAAUUGUAUGCGAUCAUUCUAGCUCUUACUUAUUAUCCAGGAGAUAUAAAUAUAGUAUCUGAUUUAGCCUGUUCAGUAGGUGUGGUACAAAAAAUUGCCAUAGCCCAAAUAAAAUUUGUAGCCUCUAA
Molecule: long non-coding RNA, 2131 nt
Organism: Antechinus flavipes (yellow-footed antechinus)
Lineage: Eukaryota; Metazoa; Chordata; Mammalia; Dasyuromorphia; Dasyuridae
Exons: 5
Source: RefSeq, a predicted model, not a curated record